This 803-nucleotide non-coding RNA is filed under the name Paegniodes cupulatus. Lineage: Eukaryota; Metazoa; Arthropoda; Insecta; Ephemeroptera; Heptageniidae. The record is from RNAcentral.
ACCAUGUCUUAUAAUUUAUCCAUAAAAGUUUUAUUCUAGCUCGAGUAUUCUCUGGUAAAUUGUUUCACAUGUAAGAAGUUAUGUGUUAGUUAAGAAAAUCUAAAAGAUUUCGAAUUUCAUUACUCGCAGUGUUUUGUAUUGAGAGUCAAGGAUAGUUGGAUUUAGCAAUUUUAUUAGCUCCGGCAAAAUUCGUGCCAGCCGCCGCGGUUAUACGAAAGGGGCAAGAGAUUAUUAUUGGUUUGUAAUUAAUUUUGUUGGUGGUUAGAAAUGAGACUUUGUUAGGUGAAAUUUUAAAGUUUGAGAUUAACCUUUAGUUUGGUGAAUGAAGUUAUGAAACUUAAAUCGAGAAACUAGGAUUAGAUACCCUACUAUUUUAAGCGUUAAAUUGGAGCCUGAGUAGUAUUAGUUAUGUUCUUGAAACUCAAAGAAUUUGGCGGUGUUUUAGUCCAAUCAGAGGAAUCUGUCCCGUGAUCGAUAGUCCACGUUUAUUUAACUUAGUCUAGUAUUCAGCUUGUAUACCGCCGUCACAAGAAGAAUUUGAGAAAAUAUCUUCAAUGCUCUGAAUGAAGAGGGAAGUCAGGUCAAGGUGCAGUUUAUGAUUAAGGGGAGAUGGAUUACAAUAAGUGAAAGUUAGACGGAAAUGUCUUGGAAUAGAUUUAUGAAGGUGGAUUUGAGUGUAAUGAAAUUAAAGGUGAUUUUAUGAUAAAGGCUCUAAAACAAGCACACAUCGCCCGUCGCUCUCGUUUGUUAAGGCGAGAUAAGUCGUAACAUAGUAGAUGUACCGGAAGGUGUCUCUAGAAAGU